RNAcentral lists this unclassified non-coding RNA (240 nucleotides) under soil metagenome. RNAcentral describes it as "partial contains 5.8S ribosomal RNA, internal transcribed spacer 2, and large subunit ribosomal RNA". The record is from RNAcentral.
AACGAGGCCGACCUGCGGCUGAGUUACCUGCGGAGGGAUCAUUACAGAGUUAUCUAACUCCCAAACCCAUGUGAACUUACCUUUGUUGCCUCGGCAGUAGUUGCUGGGCGAGCCUACCCGGGAACGAGCUACCCUGUAGCGAGUUACCCUGGAACGACUUACCCUGUAACGCCUGCCGGUGGACUACUAAACUCUUGUUAUUUUUAAAGUAAUCUGAGCGUCUUAUUUUAAUAAGUCAAA